RNAcentral lists this ribosomal RNA (254 nucleotides) under uncultured prokaryote. Its description in RNAcentral is "partial 16S ribosomal RNA". It matches the Rfam family "Bacterial small subunit ribosomal RNA", at positions 524 to 777 of the family's 1533-position model. The record is from RNAcentral.
UACGGAGGGGGCGAGCGUUAUUCGGAAUUAUUGGGCGUAAAGGGCGCGUAGGCGGCUCUUUAAGUCAAAGGUGAAAUCCCUCGGCUCAACUGAGGAACUGCCUUUGAAACUGAGGAGCUUGAGUCCGGGAGGGGGUAGCGGAAUUCCCAGUGUAGCGGUGAAAUGCGUAGAUAUUGGGAGGAACACCAGUGGCGAAGGCGGCUACCUGGACCGGAACUGACGCUGAUGCGCGAAAGCGUGGGUAGCAAACAGGA